Molecule: ribosomal RNA, 1346 nt
Filed under: uncultured bacterium
Lineage: Bacteria
Description: bacterial SSU rRNA
Rfam family: Bacterial small subunit ribosomal RNA
Source: RNAcentral
GACGAACGCUGGCGGCGUGCUUAACACAUGCAAGUCGAACGGAAAGGCCCUGCUUUUGUGGGGUGCUCGAGUGGCGAACGGGUGAGUAACACGUGAGUAACCUGCCCUUGACUUUGGGAUAACUUCAGGAAACUGGGGCUAAUACCGGAUAGGAGCUCCUGCUGCAUGGUGGGGGUUGGAAAGUUUCGGCGGCUGGGGAUGGACUCGCGGCUUAUCAGCUUGUUGGUGGGGUAGUGGCUUACCAAGGCUUUGACGGGUAGCCGGCCUGAGAGGGUGACCGGCCACAUUGGGACUGAGAUACGGCCCAGACUCCUACGGGAGGCAGCAGUGGGGAAUAUUGCACAAUGGGCGGAAGCCUGAUGCAGCAACGCCGCGUGCGGGAUGACGGCCUUCGGGUUGUAAACCGCUUUCGCCUGUGACGAAGCGUGAGUGACGGUAAUGGGUAAAGAAGCACCGGCUAACUACGUGCCAGCAGCCGCGGUGAUACGUAGGGUGCGAGCGUUGUCCGGAUUUAUUGGGCGUAAAGGGCUCGUAGGUGGUUGAUCGCGUCGGAAGUGUAAUCUUGGGGCUUAACCCUGAGCGUGCUUUCGAUACGGGUUGACUUGAGGAAGGUAGGGGAGAAUGGAAUUCCUGGUGGAGCGGUGGAAUGCGCAGAUAUCAGGAGGAACACCAGUGGCGAAGGCGGUUCUCUGGGCCUUUCCUGACGCUGAGGAGCGAAAGCGUGGGGAGCGAACAGGCUUAGAUACCCUGGUAGUCCACGCUGUAAACGGUGGGUACUAGGUGUGGGGUCCAUUCCACGGGUUCCGUGCCGUAGCUAACGCUUUAAGUACCCCGCCUGGGGAGUACGGCCGCAAGGCUAAAACUCAAAGGAAUUGACGGGGCCCCGCACAAGCGGCGGAGCAUGCGGAUUAAUUCGAUGCAACGCGUAGAACCUUACCUGGGUUUGACAUGGAUCGGGAGCGCUCAGAGAUGGGUGUGCCUCUUUUGGGGUCGGUUCACAGGUGGUGCAUGGCUGUCGUCAGCUCGUGUCGUGAGAUGUUGGGUUAAGUCCCGCAACGAGCGCAACCCUUGUUCACUGUUGCCAGCACGUUAUGGUGGGGACUCAGUGGAGACCGCCGGGGUCAACUCGGAGGAAGGUGGGGAUGACGUCAAGUCAUCAUGCCCCUUAUGUCCAGGGCUUCACGCAUGCUACAAUGGCUGGUACAGAGAGUGGCGAGCCUGUGAGGGUGAGUGAAUCUCGGAAAGCCGGUCUCAGUUCGGAUUGGGGUCUGCAACUCGACCUCAUGAAGUCGGAGUCGCUAGUAAUCGCAGAUCAGCAACGCUGCGGUGAAUACGUUCCCGGGGCU